CCUACGGGUGGCAGCAGUGGGGAAUAUUGCACAAUGGGGGAAACCCUGAUGCAGCGACGCCGCGUGAGUGAAGAAGUAUUUCGGUACGUAAAGCUCUAUCAGCAGGGAAGAAAACGACGGUACCUGACUAAGAAGCCCCGGCUAACUACGUGCCAGCAGCCGCGGUAAUACGUAGGGGGCAAGCGUUAUCCGGAUUUACUGGGUGUAAAGGGAGCGUAGACGGCAGCGCAAGUCUGGAGUGAAAUCCCAUGGCUUAACCAUGGAACUGCUUUGGAAACUGUGCAGCUAGAGUGCAGGAGAGGUAAGCGGAAUUCCUAGUGUAGCGGUGAAAUGCGUAGAUAUUAGGAGGAACACCAGUGGCGAAGGCGGCUUACUGGACUGUAACGGACGUUGAGGCUCGAAAGCGUGGGGAGCAAACAGGAUUAGAUACCCGGGUAGUC
RNAcentral lists this ribosomal RNA (440 nucleotides) under uncultured bacterium. Its description in RNAcentral is "partial 16S ribosomal RNA". It matches the Rfam family "Bacterial small subunit ribosomal RNA", at positions 338 to 795 of the family's 1533-position model. The record is from RNAcentral.